Paralichthys olivaceus (Japanese flounder) is the source of this 439-nucleotide long non-coding RNA. RefSeq lists it as uncharacterized. The record is from RefSeq and is a predicted model, not a curated record. Lineage: Eukaryota; Metazoa; Chordata; Actinopteri; Pleuronectiformes; Paralichthyidae.
AUAUCCUGGAUUUGAAUGCCGUCAUCUUGUGCGUUUGAAGCCAGAGUCUGCACUGCCGUGGUCUGGGGAUGGAGCCGUGGUCGUGAGGUCCCGCCGAUACACACACUGGACCAAUCAUCUGCGUCAUGUGCCACCUGGAAAAUGUCCAACUGGAAAAACCAGAUCAUCCAGAGGCUGCGAUGGAUGACGCUUACUGAGCUGUGCUGAUAAAAGAGACUGGAGCCAGGACCAAACAGCUGUUGAUAUUGCCGUCAUCUUGACAAGGGCACGGACACUGCUGCCUGGUGCUUUAAGACACCGCUGCGCCUUCUGUUUUUGGAGGACUCGAGAUAUGAUUCAAAGCCCUGACAAUCGGAUGCAGAGGAGAGGAACAACAACUAUUUUGGGUACAACGGCCGCUCACCAAACACAGGAUGUUCCGAGUGAAGAUGGUACAGAG